RNAcentral lists this ribosomal RNA (468 nucleotides) under uncultured bacterium. RNAcentral's name for it is "partial 16S ribosomal RNA". It matches the Rfam family "Bacterial small subunit ribosomal RNA", at positions 28 to 507 of the family's 1533-position model. The record is from RNAcentral.
GACGAACGCUGGCGGCGUGCUUAACACAUGCAAGUCGAACGGAAAGGCCCUGCUUUUGUGGGGUGCUCGAGUGGCGAACGGGUGAGUAACACGUGAGUAACCUGCCCUUGACUUUGGGAUAACUUCAGGAAACUGGGGCUAAUACCGGAUAGGAGCUACUGCUGCAUGGUGGGGGUUGGAAAGUUUCGGCGGUUGGGGAUGGACUGGCGGCUUAUCAGCUUGUUGGUGGGGUAGGGGCUUACCAAGGCUUUGACGGGUAGCCGGCCUGAGAGGGUGACCGGCCACAUUGGGACUGAGAUACGGCCCAGACGCCUACGGGAGGCAGCAGUGGGGAAUAUUGCACAAUGGGCGGAAGCCUGAUGCAGCAACGCCGCGUGCGGGAUGACGGCCUUCGGGUUGUAAACCGCUUUCGCCUGUGACGAAGCGUGAGUGACGGUAAUGGGUAAAGAAGCACCGGCUAAUUACGUG